UUGAGUACUGCUAUACAUUGAGCUCUUCUUCUUCUUCUUGAAAAAAGCAAUUAGCAUAAAACCAGCACCAAACCACAAUGAGCUGAGUUGACCUGUGCUCAGCUUUAGCAUUCUGAUUUCUUUUAUUUUGUUGGAUUUCUUUCUUGGUUCCAAUCUGAUAGUAAGGUGUUUACAAUUAUUGGGUUGGGUGUAAAAAAAUCUUCCAUGUUUAUCCUUUUAGGUUUUUUCUUUUAUCUAUUAUAAUGGAAUUUAAAAUAUUGGGCUUACGAUGAUACCCUUUUAAUCCCGGAAGAACUGUAGUCCAAAAGACAGAUUCACAAGAUGAGAAGGAAAAUGGAUUUCUGAGAGACUUAUAGUAAUUCAGAUUAAGAAACUUUCUUUCCCUACUUGCCAUUUUAAUGUCACUUUUCUUCAGAAGAAGAUUUCACUGAGCUUCCUUGAUACAGGCGAACAGCUUCUGAUAAGGCCUAGUAUUAGCUCAAGGAAAUGGCUGAGGAUCUGGAUCUGAGACAGCAUAAUAAGGGAAAUGCUCAGUGUCUGUCCAAACCUUUGUUAGAAUCCUGGUGAGAUAUGUUUGUUAGAAUAACUGCUGCAAGAGGCAAGGUAUAACAUGCAAAGAGGAUGAGAGCGCUUGUAUUAAGAACUAGAAAUUACUGCUCAGAUUCCCUGGAGAACCUGAAAAAGUCUGUGGACAUCUAAACAAAAGGAAGAAAUGAGAUAACCCAGAGGGCACAUACCUGAGAUGUUUGAAAGGAACAGAAAGUAUCUUUGUGUCUUCAAUGGCUCUUGAAACCAAGUAGCCUGCACUGUUCAGGAGUUAGUGAGAUGGUAAGAAAUACUGACUUGAUCAUAUAAAAAAAGAAGGAAAAUGGAAAAUCUCUGAAAAUCCAACAUUCAAGAAAUGAUUAUUUGCCACACUGAAACAAUGAGAAAAUUGAGGACAAUAUCGAUAGAACUUUAAAAUAUAUAAAUGAAUAUGUUUUAUUUCUAAGAAU
Passer domesticus (house sparrow) is the source of this 995-nucleotide long non-coding RNA. RefSeq lists it as uncharacterized. NCBI's taxonomy places the organism in Eukaryota, Metazoa, Chordata, Aves, Passeriformes, Passeridae. The transcript is spliced from 6 exons. The record is from RefSeq and is a predicted model, not a curated record.